This 468-nucleotide ribosomal RNA is filed under the name uncultured bacterium. RNAcentral's name for it is "partial 16S ribosomal RNA". It matches the Rfam family "Bacterial small subunit ribosomal RNA", at positions 28 to 507 of the family's 1533-position model. The record is from RNAcentral.
GACGAACGCUGGCGGCGUGCUUAACACAUGCAAGUCGAACGGAAAGGCCCUGCUUUUGUGGGGUGCUCGAGUGGCGAACGGGUGAGUAACACGUGAGUAACCUGCCCUUGACUUUGGGAUAACUUCAGGAAACUGGGGCUAAUACCGGAUAGGAGCUCCUGCUGCAUGGUGGGGGUUGGAAAGUUUCGGCGGUUGGUGAUGGACUCGCGGCUUAUCAGCUUGUUGGUAGGGUAGUGGCUUACCAAGGCUUUGACGGGUAGCCGGCCUGAGAGGGUGACCGGCCACAUUGGGACUGAGAUACGGCCCAGACUCCUACGGGAGGCAGCAGUGGGGAAUAUUGCACAAUGGGCGGAAGCCUGAUGCAGCAACGCCGCGUGCGGGAUGACGGCCUUCGGGUUGUAAACCGCUUUCGCCUGUGACGAAGCGUGAGUGACGGUAAUGGGUAAAGAAGCACCGGCUAACUACGUG